AUUAGUUGUCUGCAGGCUCCAUCUCAUAUAUUCUUUGAAUUCAGUAAGGUACUGAAACACUACACCAGGGUUUGGCUGGUGAUUUGAGACUACAGCAGAUGUAAUUAGGCUCAGGCAUGCUGAUAGAAAACUCAGGACUGCUCUUACAGUAUGUGUGCACUAUAAAUGAAGCUCCUGUUGUUAUGAAGGAGCCUGUUUUCAGUUUCCUGCCAUUCCUGUUGCAGCACAGCUCAAUUCUGCAGCAGGGAAUCCUUUUAGACAAGGGCGAUAAGAAUUGACUACUAUGGGUUAGCCUGACAUGCUUGUGUAAAGGCCUGGAUACUUUAUUCAUGUGAAUUCCAUCAGAUAUUCAGCACAGAUCAUGUACUCUUACAGAUGAAAACUGCAUAAGUGUUUGAAUAUGAGAACCAUGCCCUGGGAUCUUGUACCUGAAUUGCUGCGGAGACCAGCUUCAGGACAGACUUACUCUGAGGCUUAUUCCUGGACCCACCCGGUACCUGCACCCUCUCAUUGCUCAAGACCAGCCUCGCUGCUCCUGCCCUUCAGCCUUGGGCCAUUGGAACGGUGUGCAAUGGACCGCUGCCGGAUCCUGGUGCAAUCCCCUUUGAGUUCCAACUCCCCAAGAGGAAAAUACAUUGAGAUGUGCUACAUUUCCCAGCAGCCUCCAAGUGAACUCCAAUUGCAGGUGAUGGGGAUGAAGGGCUUCCAGGUUUCCAACAGCACAGUGAGCAGCACAGUUGUAGACUUCCUCUCCCAUUUGAGUUAUUAAUUGUAACUCUCUUUCUUAUUAUUAUCUUUCAUUUUUUUACCAUUUGUAGUAAAUUUGUUG
Gallus gallus (chicken) is the source of this 829-nucleotide long non-coding RNA. The record is from Ensembl. NCBI's taxonomy places the organism in Eukaryota, Metazoa, Chordata, Aves, Galliformes, Phasianidae.